RNAcentral lists this ribosomal RNA (468 nucleotides) under uncultured bacterium. RNAcentral's name for it is "partial 16S ribosomal RNA". It matches the Rfam family "Bacterial small subunit ribosomal RNA", at positions 28 to 507 of the family's 1533-position model. The record is from RNAcentral.
GACGAACGCUGGCGGCGUGCUUAACACAUGCAAGUCGAACGGAAAGGCCCUGCUUUUGUGGGGUGCUCGAGUGGCGAACGGGUGAGUAACACGUGAGUAACCUGCCCUUGACUUUGGGAUAACUUCAGGAAACUGGGGCUAAUACCGGAUAGGAGCUCCUGCUGCAUGGUGGGGGUUGGAAAGUUUCGGCGGUUGGGGAUGGACUCGCGGCUUAUCAGCUUGUUGGUGGGGUAGUGGCUUACCAAGGCUUUGACGGGUAGCCGGCCUGAGAGGGUGACAGGCGACAUGGGGACUGAGGUACGGCCCAGACCCCAACGGGAGGCAGCAGUGGGGAAUAUUGCACAAUGGGAGGAAGCCUGAUGCAGCAACGCCGCGUGCGGGAUGACGGCCUUCGGGUUGUAAACCGCUUUCGCCUGUGACGAAGCGUGAGUGACGGUAAUGGGUAAAGAAGCACCGGCUAACUACGUG